This is a long non-coding RNA of Gadus macrocephalus (Pacific cod), 2160 nucleotides long. RefSeq lists it as uncharacterized. The record is from RefSeq and is a predicted model, not a curated record. The transcript has 2 exons. Lineage: Eukaryota; Metazoa; Chordata; Actinopteri; Gadiformes; Gadidae.
CUGGAUGGUUGUGAGACCUGUGGCCUGGAUGGUUGUGAGACCUGUGGCCACGAUGGUUGUGAGACCUGUGGCCACGAUGGUUGUGAGACCUGUGGCCUGGAUGGUUGUGAGACCUGUGGCCACGAUGGUUGUGAGACCUGUGGCCACGAUGGUUGUGAGACCUGUGGCCACGAUGGUUGUGAGACCUGUGGCCUGGAUGGUUGGGAGACCUGUGGCCGACGAUGGUUGGGAGACCUGUGGCCGGCGAUGGUUGAGGGGCCGGCGAUGGUGGGGAGAAUUGGAUCCAGGAGAAGUUGUCGCAACUUUGAAAUCAACCAGGAAUGUCAACCGGACCAAUGUUUGACAGCUUCCCUCUAACAAGUCUCAACAUAUUUUGGUGUUCUAAACAACUUGUCAAGCUCUGAUCACAAGCUCCACUGGAUAAAGGACAUCCUGUGCAAGGCUGCAUUUAAUUCUGUGCCUACAUUUGAUUGGCUGGCAGGGCUGUUUGUACAGGCCGCUGACUGACUUGUGAGGAAGGCAUCACUAGUCCAACGCAACGGUCAUGAGAUUUGUGUUCCGUUAGGUUUAAAAGGUGGGUGCUGUGCAUUUCUAGUUCUGUAUUAGUAGACUGAUGGCAUGUCUUUUAGAAAUUACUUUAUUUACCAGAAACAUCCUCACUGGCAAAUUCAGCUGCUUCAGUACAUUUCACUUUGAAGUUCGGUGUGUCAUUUGCAUAUUGGAAGAUUUGUACCAUAAAGGCAAGUGAACAUUAUUAAGAGAUUAACUGAGUAUCUUGAUGGUAAGACUUAACGUAUUAACCUUCAUGCAUGUGGUUUUUACCAGGCAUGGCUCAUGCUAGACUUCAUCAUGAAGAUGCUUGUAAACCAGGAGUGGGGUUCGGGCUGGGCAGCAUUUAUCUGUAGAACAUCAGUUUUAAGAUGUGGUUUCAUUGGUAACAUUUGCAGAUUUAGAAUCUGCAUUGAAUAAAUGUCCAGGUUAUUUUAAGCUACAAUCUACUUGAUUUGCUAAGCAUUGCGACUUUGGAAAUUCAUGUUUUUGUUAAGUUAGCCCAAUAUCAAAUAAUGAAGGCGUUCCUCAUUGAUGGUACCGUCAGUAUCCUGAGCAUUUAUACCCCUGAUGAGCAAGACUUCAACUUCUCCUCAAACGGUAUGUCUAAAGUAUGAUGAUGCCAUUUUGUGUUUCAACCUUUGACCCUUUGGUCACUCUAUUGUAACUGAUCUUUCGCAGAUUUAUCCAUCGACUGGUUGUCUUGAGGAGGAUGAAUCCGGUUGACGCCCCUCCUGGGAGGUAAGGGCCACUUCCAUGCAUGUUGACGGUGUUUUAAAGGAGUAAAUCAAAGUAUCUUUAGGAGCUGAAGGACGGGCGGCCAGCUUCAGCGGUCCUGAUGGAUGUGGAAGGGUAUGAUGCUGGAAAACAAAUUGUUAAAUUUCUCUGCUUGAUAGAAUGUGGCUCUUUUUGAGACUAGCUACACUCGUAUUUAUUAACAAACAUUCUCCUUCACUAGGUAUAGGUUCAGGAUUGGUCUUGGGUCAAGUUUACCCUUUAGAGCGCCGAAUAGAAAUUGAUGCAUCAAUGCACAAUUUCAAAGUACGUAGACUACACGAGUCAGCUGCAGGUGUGGCAGUGACUGCUUGUGUUAAGACGGGCUAGUUUAUCCCCAUCCUGGUGGUACCAAGUGGUCAGUGAUGGGUUUGGGUAGUGGCUAUGGUAGUCUACUCCCAGCCGGAAGAUGAUGAUGAUGAUGUUGAUUGAGCAGCUGCUGCAGGUGGACCAGUGUGUUGCACCGACACUUAAGGCUCAUCUUGAGCUGUACUAGCUGGUCACAGAAGAGACUGGUACUUAAUAUAGCAGGGAGCUUUCAGUUCGCCCUCUAAUGGGAGGAAACCCACCAGGUACCUGGCCGGUCGCAGCUUCACCAGGUGGGUGGGGGAACAUGGUCCAUGGAAAGAAAAAGGUGCAUUUCAUGUGUUGAAACUGAAGUCGUAGGUUUUGGACCUCCGCUGAGUGACCCGUGACAUGAAGUCUGCUAUGGUGCCGUCCACAUCAGACCUUUCAGAGUCGGCAUUCGCUGGUGGACACCAAGGCCCAGUCUGCAGAGGGUUGUGGAUCCUCCAGGGACGAGUUGCUGCUUCUUGUUUGCUGCGAGUGGAAAUAAAC